Molecule: unclassified non-coding RNA, 236 nt
Filed under: uncultured Cortinarius
Lineage: Eukaryota; Fungi; Basidiomycota; Agaricomycetes; Agaricales; Cortinariaceae
Description: sequence contains ITS1
Source: RNAcentral
UUGAAAUAAACCUGAUGAGUUGCUGCUGGUUCUCUAGGGAGCAUGUGCACACUUGUCGUCUUUAUAUCUCCACCUGUGAACCUUUUGUAGACCCUGGAUAUCUCUCUGAAAUGGUUAGCCAAUUCAGGUUUGAGGAAUUGAUUUUCUUUCCUUACAUUUCCAGGUCUAUGUUUUUCAUAUACCCCAUGUAUGUUUAUAGAAUGUAUUAGAUGGGCCUUUGUGCCUAUAAACUUAUA